GUUGUUGCAGUUAAAAAGCUCGUAGUUGAACUUCGGGGUUUACUCAUUGGUCAGGCUUAAUUGUCUGUACUGGUGAGAUGAAUCUCUACCUUCUGAGGAACUUUCAUGCCAUUUAGUUGGUGUGAUUGGAAAUCAGGACUGUUACUUUGAAAAAAUUAGAGUGUUUAAAGCAGGCUAACGUCUGAAUACAUUAGCAUGGAAUAAUGAAAUAGGACGGAUUGGUUCUAUUUCGUUGGUUUCUAGGAUCACCGUAAUGAUUAAUAGGGAUAGUUGGUGGCAUUAGUAUUCAAUUGUCAGAGGUGAAAUUCUUGGAUUUAUUGAAGACUAACUACUGCGAAAGCAUUUGCCAAGGAUGUUUUCAUUAAUCAAGAACGAAAGUUAGGGGAUCGAAGACGAUCAGAUACCGUCGUAGUCUUAACCAUAAACUAUGCCGACUAGGGAUCGGAUGAUGUUAAUUUUUUAAUGACUCAUUCGGCGCCUUACGGGAAAC
Molecule: ribosomal RNA, 490 nt
Filed under: uncultured Glomeraceae
Lineage: Eukaryota; Fungi; Glomeromycota; Glomeromycetes; Glomerales; Glomeraceae
Description: SSU rRNA
Rfam family: Eukaryotic small subunit ribosomal RNA
Source: RNAcentral